RNAcentral lists this ribosomal RNA (251 nucleotides) under uncultured bacterium. Its description in RNAcentral is "partial 16S ribosomal RNA". It matches the Rfam family "Bacterial small subunit ribosomal RNA", at positions 524 to 773 of the family's 1533-position model. The record is from RNAcentral.
UACGUAGGGUGCAAGCGUUUAAUCGGAAUUACUGGGCGUAAAGCGUGCGCAGGCGGUUUUGUAAGUCUGUCGUGAAAUCCCCGGGCUCAACCUGGGAAUUGCGAUGGAGACUGCAAGGCUAGAAUCUGGCAGAGGGGGGUAGAAUUCCACGUGUAGCAGUGAAAUGCGUAGAGAUGUGGAGGAACACCGAUGGCGAAGGCAGCCCCCUGGGGUCAAGAUUGACGCUCAUGCACGAAAGCUGGGGAGCAAAC